AGUUUGAUCAUGGCUCAGGACAACGCUGGCGGCGUGCCUAACACAUGCAAGUCGAACGAGGUCCAAGGAAGCUUGCUUCCUGAAGACCUAGUGGCGAACGGGUGAGUAACACGUGAGAAACCUGCCUCGGAGUGGGGAAUAACUCGGGGAAACUCGAGCUAAUACCGCAUACCUUCACAUGAUCGCAUGGUCGAGUGAAGAAAGAAUUUCGCUCUGAGAGGGUCUCGCGGCCUAUCAGCUUGUUGGUGGGGUAACGGCCUACCAAGGCAACGACGGGUAGCUGGUUUGAGAGAACGAUCAGCCACACUGGGACUGAGACACGGCCCAGACUCCUACGGGAGGCAGCAGUGGGGAAUCUUGCGCAAUGGGCGAAAGCCUGACGCAGCAACGCCGCGUGCGGGAUGACGGCCUUCGUGGUUGUAAACCGCUUUCAGCAGGGACGAAAAUGACGGUACCUGCAGAAGAAGCCCCGGCUAACUACGUG
RNAcentral lists this ribosomal RNA (484 nucleotides) under uncultured bacterium. RNAcentral's name for it is "bacterial SSU rRNA". It matches the Rfam family "Bacterial small subunit ribosomal RNA", at positions 10 to 507 of the family's 1533-position model. The record is from RNAcentral.